GAGGGUACAGCUCAGUGGUAGAGUGCGUGCUUAGCAUGUGUGAGGUCCUGGGUUCAAUCCCAGUACCUCUU
RNAcentral lists this transfer RNA (71 nucleotides) under Camelus dromedarius (Arabian camel). It matches the Rfam family "tRNA". From Rfam's summary of the family: Transfer RNA (tRNA) molecules are approximately 80 nucleotides in length. Their secondary structure includes four short double-helical elements and three loops (D, anti-codon, and T loops). Further hydrogen bonds mediate the characteristic L-shaped molecular structure. tRNAs have two regions of fundamental functional importance: the anti-codon, which is responsible for specific mRNA codon recognition, and the 3' end, to which the tRNAs corresponding amino acid is attached (by aminoacyl-tRNA synthetases). tRNAs cope with the degeneracy of the genetic code in two manners: having more than one tRNA (with a specific anti-codon) for a particular amino acid; and 'wobble' base-pairing, i.e. permitting non-standard base-pairing at the 3rd anti-codon position. Lineage: Eukaryota; Metazoa; Chordata; Mammalia; Artiodactyla; Camelidae. RNAcentral also lists the same sequence under 1 other name. The record is from Rfam by way of RNAcentral.